RNAcentral lists this ribosomal RNA (254 nucleotides) under uncultured bacterium. RNAcentral's name for it is "partial 16S ribosomal RNA". It matches the Rfam family "Bacterial small subunit ribosomal RNA", at positions 524 to 776 of the family's 1533-position model. The record is from RNAcentral.
UACGUAGGGUGCGAGCGUUGUCCGGAAUUAUUGGGCGUAAAGAGCUCGUAGGCGGUGUGUCACGUCGUUCGUGAAAACCUGCAGCUUAACUGUGGGCGUGCGGUCGAUACGGGCAUCACUGGAGUUCGGCAGGGGAGACUGGAAUUCCUGGUGUAGCGGUGAAAUGCGUAGAUAUCCGGAGGAACACCGGUGGCGAAGGCGGCUUCCUGGACCGACACUGACGCUGAGGCGCGAAAGCUAGGGGAGCAAACGGG